Bufo gargarizans (Asiatic toad) is the source of this 645-nucleotide long non-coding RNA. RefSeq lists it as uncharacterized. NCBI's taxonomy places the organism in Eukaryota, Metazoa, Chordata, Amphibia, Anura, Bufonidae. The record is from RefSeq and is a predicted model, not a curated record. The transcript is spliced from 3 exons.
UUCCCCAAAUGAAAAAACAGAAGAUGAGCUCAAAUCAAGCUGAUGCUUAAAAAAGGUUGAAGGAGAAGACCAGGUAGCCGCCCUGCAAAUAUCCUCUAUGGGGACUGAGGAUCUUUCUGCCCAGGAGGUAGAAUGUGCUUUAAGACCCACCGGAGGCGAUAAACCAGAUGAAGAAUAGGCCAAAGAAAUGCAGAAACAAUCCAUAUAGCAAUGGAACCUUUGGUGGCCGCCUUUCUCUUAUUUACUCCUUGGAAGAGGACAAAUAGUGAAGAAGAUUUUCGACAACUUUCAGUGCGAGACUGAUAAAUAAUCAAAGCUCUUCUUACAUCCAAGCAAUGAAGCAACUUUUCUUCUUCCGACCUCGGGUUCUUAAAAAAGUCUCCCCUAGUUACGGCCACUGCUCUUCUCCGGAACCCCCGUGGCGGCGCGCGCAUUCAGUCCAGCGCGCGGCCCGGCCGGGAGAAGACUUCAAUCAAGAUGAAGCCCACCCCCAGCCAGAAUCCAGAAAGUGAACGGCACGCUGGAAGCAGACCUCAUCAGACCUACUGCUGUCAGUUCUUUUAGAUGGAGGAUCCCCCUUUUUGGACAUCCCCCUAAAGACCGUGAAGGGAGAUCUCCCCAAUAAUGAAGUGACGAACAUCGACC